CAGGGGGAUAACACAUGGAAACGUGUGCUAAUACCGUAUAAGACCACAGUGCCGCAUGGCACAGGGGUCAAAGGAGCAAUCCGGUAUAAGGGGGGUUCGCGUCCCAUUAGCUAGUUGGUGGAGUAACGGUUCACCAAGGCAACGAUGGGUAUCCGAGCUGAGAGGCUGAACGGACACACUGGGACUGAGAUACGGCCCAGACUCCUACGGGAGGCAGCAGGGAGGAAUAUUGGUCAAUGGGGGAAACCCUGAACCAGCAACGCCGCGUGAAGGAAGAAGGCCCUCGGGUUGUAAACUUCUGUUUUCAGGGACGAAGAAAGUGACGGUACCUGAAGAGAAAGCUCCGGCAAACUACGUGCCAGCAGCCGCGGUAAUACGUAGGGAGCGAGCGUUGUCCGGAAUCACUGGGCGUAAAGGGCGCGUAGGCGGUUUUACAAGUUGCAUGUGAAAGACCAUGGCUUAACCAUGGGGUGUCAUGCAAAACUGUAGGGCUUGAGUGCAGUAGAGGAAAGCGGAAUUCCUGGUGUAGCGGUAAAAUGCGUAGAGAUCAGGAGGAACACCGGUGGCGAAGGCGGCUUUCUGGGCUGUAACUGACGCUGAGGCGCGAAAGCGUGGGGAGCGAACAGGAUUAGAUACCCUGGUAGUCCACGCCGUAAACGAUGAAUAUUAGGUGUAGGCCUUUAAGGUCUGUGCCGGAGCAAACGCAAUAAAUAUUCCGCCUGGGGGAGUACGGCCGCAAGGUUGAAACUCCAAAAGAAUUGACGGA
RNAcentral lists this ribosomal RNA (766 nucleotides) under uncultured Eubacteriales bacterium. RNAcentral describes it as "bacterial SSU rRNA". It matches the Rfam family "Bacterial small subunit ribosomal RNA", at positions 136 to 917 of the family's 1533-position model. Lineage: Bacteria; Bacillati; Bacillota; Clostridia; Eubacteriales. The record is from RNAcentral.